CUCCUACACCAAGUUCACCAGAGAGAAACUCGACACAAUCGUGGACUUCCCCCUCAGGGAUCUGGACUUCUCCUCGUUUCUCUUGAGGAGGAAGCUGUCCACAGAGGAGCCGCUGAGUUGCUACAACCUCAUCGCUGUGUCCAAUCACUACGGAGGACUCAGAGACGGACACUACACCAGCUACGCUCAGAACAAGGACAACGGUCAGUGGUAUUACUUCGAUGACAGCAAGGUUACAUACGCCUCCGUGG
Molecule: long non-coding RNA, 251 nt
Organism: Nematolebias whitei (Rio pearlfish)
Lineage: Eukaryota; Metazoa; Chordata; Actinopteri; Cyprinodontiformes; Rivulidae
Exons: 3
Source: RefSeq, a predicted model, not a curated record